This 1521-nucleotide long non-coding RNA is filed under the name Equus asinus (donkey). RNAcentral's name for it is "lncRNA (ENSEASG00005026614.1)". Lineage: Eukaryota; Metazoa; Chordata; Mammalia; Perissodactyla; Equidae. The record is from RNAcentral.
CUUGAGGACCCGGCUGACCCAUCUUGGGGUGCCACCAUCCAGACACGUGGUAUUCCCCAGGUCCCGAGACAAGGAAGUGACUGCAAGUAGUUUAUGUGGAAGUUCUCCCAGGGAACACCAGGAAGGACCAGGGGAAGUGACACAGGAAGGGGAGUGAAGCAGGAAACGGUGCUGCGGGGCCAGCCAGCCACCGCUGCGGGCAACUCUGGGAGCCCACACCCGGGCUCAAUCAACCCUGGGGGGAGGGGGGCAGUGUUUAUUGCCAAUCUCCGACUGUCAUUGGAGGGGCACUAACUGCGGUGCCUCCUGCUUGCCUUGGGCCAAUGUCUCAGGUGGGUCAUGAGCAGCCUUUGGAAUGUCGAGGUGCAGAGAUGGUAUUUCUUACUGUUACGGGCGAUAAAACAUCAUCGCUUCCUGGGAGCACGCUGUGGGCAUGGCCCUGUGCUGAACUCUUUCCCUGCAGCAUCUCCCCGACUCCUCAUGACAACCUGAGAGGUUAACUCUUCUAUUCUCCCCACUUUACAGAUGAGAAGACUGUGGACCCAGAGGUUAAAUUUGCAGCCCAAGGUCCCAGCUGGUGUGUGGCAGGGUUGAGACCUGAACGCAGGUCAUUGGUUAGGUUGUUCUUAACCACUCCGUGACAUGGUUUCUUGCUAAGAAAAAGACUUGACUGUUCAGUGAAAGAAACAAUAAGAGAAUGGGUGGGACCUUGAAGUGGAUGUGGGUGGGCAGAUGGUAUUCCAGGAGGGGGACAGCACAAGUAAAGGGGUAACGGUUAAGGAGUCUCCCCCAGGCAGCCUUGUCUCCCCUCUGUGGUCACUGACACAGCUGUGGGCUCAGCUGCUGUUCAAGAGGCCAGCCCGCCUUCUCCCUCGAGGCACCUGCCCCCGCCCCUCCAUCCUUCAGAGGCAGAGCUCCUAACCUUCUGCACAUCCCAGUCCAUCGGUACAUGACUCUGGGGCAAACUGAGAGGAUCUGGAGACAUUUUUAUAGAGCCUGGCAGAAAAAAAGUUACGUCUUCUUUAUCUUAUAUAAUUAUGAUAAGAACGACGUAGUGCAAAGCAUUAGAAAAGAUAUUAAACACUGAGUGGGUAUAAAACAUCCAAAUGAAAUCUCCCAGACCUCUUAAAAUGAGAGCCUUGGGCUUGCUUCCAUGAACACAACUUUUUAACAUCAGAUUUUUUGAAUGAAAUAACUAUGGGCUAUUCCUAGUCAAGAUUUUUUUUUUUUGUAAUUGAGAUAUAAUUGACAUAUUGUAUUAGUUUCAGAGGCACAACGUAAUGAUUCGAUGUAUGUACCUGUUGCAAAAUGAUCACCACAACAAGUCUAGUUAACAUCUAUCACCACACGCAUAGUUACAAAUUUUUUUAUUGUGAUGACAACUUUUAAGAUCCACUCUCUUUGCAACUUUCAAAUAUACAAAACAGUAUUGUUAACAGUAUUGUUAUGUAUGGUCGCCACGCUGUGUGGUACAUCCCCAGCACUUAUUUAUUUUAUAACUGGAAGUUUGUACCUUUCGAC